This 265-nucleotide small RNA is filed under the name Pongo abelii (Sumatran orangutan). RNAcentral's name for it is "processed transcript". Lineage: Eukaryota; Metazoa; Chordata; Mammalia; Primates; Hominidae. The record is from RNAcentral.
GAGAAUUCAACUGCAGAAAGUUCUGGGGCCAAGUUGUAAGGUGCUGGUACUCAGGAAUCAUGGUGUGGUUGCACUUGGAGAAACAUUAGAGGAGGCUUUUCAUUAUAUUUUUAAUGUGCAGCUAGCCUGUGAGAUUCAGGUAGGAAACGUUAUUCCCCUUUUUUAAUUGCUUUGUUAUUUGCUCAUUUAGUUGGAUUUUGUGUACUUAUUUGCAAAUACAUAUUAGUUAGUGGCUUUUUGUCUUUUAAGAGAAGUUUUGCUCUAC